RNAcentral lists this transfer RNA (68 nucleotides) under Hyriopsis bialata. RNAcentral describes it as "tRNA-Ser". The record is from RNAcentral. Lineage: Eukaryota; Metazoa; Mollusca; Bivalvia; Unionida; Unionidae. RNAcentral also lists the same sequence under 1 other name.
GAGAAGAGAUCGUAUCAAUCUUAGGCUUCUAACCAAAGAAAAAGAGGUUAAACUCCUUUUACUUCUCU